UUUUAUUCCAUGAUUUUUAGUAAGUAAAUAGAAUAAAAUGGGUUGUGAUUUUAUUAUUCCUAUCUUACCCUCAUUAUAACAUUUUAAAAAAUAAUAACAAUCCUAUUUUUGAAUAAACUAUAUUAUAUAGUCAUAAAAUAAUGUACUUAGAUGGUCAGACGAGACAUCUCAUAAGUCAUAACUCAUUCACUCGUCACAAAUCCUAUAAUCAAAAGAAC
This 218-nucleotide long non-coding RNA is filed under the name Glycine max (soybean). RNAcentral's name for it is "long non-coding RNA (GMAX_LNC001406)". The record is from RNAcentral. Lineage: Eukaryota; Viridiplantae; Streptophyta; Magnoliopsida; Fabales; Fabaceae.